GACCUGCCAGUGCUUAGCCACAGGCUGUGUUCUUACACGGCCUGUUCAGAAAGAGGAGGCACAGUGAAUCACCCAUAUAUACCUCACCCCAGGCCCUUUGCCUGGUCAGCACUGUGAAUGGCGGAGUGUGU
Molecule: small nucleolar RNA, 131 nt
Organism: Pipistrellus kuhlii (Kuhl's pipistrelle)
Lineage: Eukaryota; Metazoa; Chordata; Mammalia; Chiroptera; Vespertilionidae
Product: small nucleolar RNA SNORA51
Exons: 1
Source: RefSeq, a predicted model, not a curated record